RNAcentral lists this small nuclear RNA (151 nucleotides) under Urocitellus parryii (Arctic ground squirrel). RNAcentral describes it as "U1 spliceosomal RNA (ENSUPAG00010019148.1)". It matches the Rfam family "U1 spliceosomal RNA". Rfam says of the family: U1 is a small nuclear RNA (snRNA) component of the spliceosome (involved in pre-mRNA splicing). Its 5' end forms complementary base pairs with the 5' splice junction, thus defining the 5' donor site of an intron. The record is from Rfam by way of RNAcentral. Lineage: Eukaryota; Metazoa; Chordata; Mammalia; Rodentia; Sciuridae.
AUACUUAUGCGUCAGGGGAGAUACCAUGAUUAUGAAAGUGGUUCUCUCAGGGGAGGCUCAUCCACUGGACUCUGGGUGUUCUGACCCCAAGUGUGGGAAACUUGAUUGUAUGAUUUGUCAUAUUCAGGGACUGCAUUCAUGCUCUCCCUGU